GGACGGAUUCCCGAGCGGUCAAAGGGAGCAGACUGUAAAUCUGCCGGCAUAGCCUUCGUAGGUUCGAAUCCUACUCCGUCCACCA
RNAcentral lists this transfer RNA (85 nucleotides) under Dialister histaminiformans. RNAcentral describes it as "Allisonella histaminiformans tRNA_Tyr_GTA". It matches the Rfam family "tRNA". Rfam says of the family: Transfer RNA (tRNA) molecules are approximately 80 nucleotides in length. Their secondary structure includes four short double-helical elements and three loops (D, anti-codon, and T loops). RNAcentral also lists the same sequence under 1 other name. The record is from RNAcentral. Lineage: Bacteria; Bacillati; Bacillota; Negativicutes; Veillonellales; Veillonellaceae.